Molecule: ribosomal RNA, 468 nt
Filed under: uncultured bacterium
Lineage: Bacteria
Description: partial 16S ribosomal RNA
Rfam family: Bacterial small subunit ribosomal RNA
Source: RNAcentral
GAUGAACGCUGGCGGCGUGCUUAACACAUGCAAGUCGAACGGAAAGGCCCUGCUUUUGUGCGGUGCUCGAGUGGCGAACGGGUGAGUAACACGUGAGUAACCUGCCCUUGACUUUGGGAUAACUUCAGGAAACUGGGGCUAAUAUCGGAUAGGAGCUCCUGUUGCAUGGUGGGGGUUGGAAAGUUUCGGCGGUUGGGGAUGGACUCGCGGCUUAUCAGCUUGUUGGUGGGGUAGUGGCUUACCCAGGCUUUGACGGGUAGCCGGCCUGAGAGGGUGACCGGCCACAAUGGGACUGAGAUACGGCCCAGACUCCUACGGGAGGCAGAAGGGGCAAAUAUUGCACAAUGGGCGGAAGCCUGAUGCAGCAACGCCGCGUGCGGGAUGACGGCCUUCGGGUUGUAAACCGCUUUCGCCUGUGACGAAGCGUGAGUGACGGUAAUGAGUAAAGAAGCACCGGCUAACUACGUG